CGGAUGUGCUURACACAUGCAAGUCGAGGGGCAGCACUUCGGGUGGCGACCGGCGCACGGGUGAGUAACACGUAUGCAACCUACCCAUAACUCAGGGAUAGCCCGGCGAAAGUCGGAUUAAUACCUGAUGACACAGGGAUACCGCAUGGUAUUAUUUGUUAAAGAUUUAUUGGUUAUGGAUGGGCAUGCGUUCCAUUAGGUAGUUGGGAGGGUAACGGCCUGCCAAGCCUGCGAUGGAUAGGGGAACUGAGAGGUUGGUCCCCCACACUGGUACUGAGACACGGACCAGACUCCUACGGGAGGCAGCAGUGAGGAAUAUUGGUCAAUGGGCGAGAGCCUGAACCAGCCAAAUCGCGUGAAGGAAGAAGGUAUUAUGUAUUGUAAACUUCUUUUGUGAGGGAAUAAAGUGCACCACGUGUGGUGUUUUGUAUGUACCUUACGAAUAAGCAUCGGCUAACUCCGUGCCAGCAGCCGCGGUAAUACNGAAGAUGCGANCGUUAUCCGGAUUUAUUGGGUUUAAAGGGUGCCUUAGGUGGGAAUUUA
RNAcentral lists this ribosomal RNA (543 nucleotides) under uncultured bacterium. RNAcentral describes it as "bacterial SSU rRNA". It matches the Rfam family "Bacterial small subunit ribosomal RNA", at positions 40 to 585 of the family's 1533-position model. The record is from RNAcentral.